RNAcentral lists this long non-coding RNA (5528 nucleotides) under Medicago truncatula (barrel medic). Its description in RNAcentral is "long non-coding RNA (MTRU_LNC007855)". Lineage: Eukaryota; Viridiplantae; Streptophyta; Magnoliopsida; Fabales; Fabaceae. The record is from RNAcentral.
AAGGGUUUGUUAGAGAAAGACAGAGAAGGUGAUUCAAGAAGCAUAACAUGGGGUGUAUUUUUUCAAGAGGUGAAAGAUGUUUGUUUUCUAGCUCUGCCUAUGAUCGCCGUCACUCUGUCACAAUAUUUUCUACAAAUUAUUUCAAUGAUAAUGGUUGGUCGUUUGGGUAAACUUGCUCUUUCUAGCACAGCUAUUGCUAUCUCUCUCUGUGGUGUCUCUGGCUUCAGUCUUCUUGUAAGUUUUUUUUUUUUCUUUUUUCCGUUUGGCUCUUGAUUUUAAGAGCAACUGUUGUAUUAUUUGCACUCGAAACAGUCAUUUGGGUUCUUGCUUAUGUCAGGGAGUGUCAUUAUUGCCUUUGAAUGUAUCAAAAUAAAUAAAAAAUAAAAAAAUAUCCUGAAUGCGUCUUUUGCUAGUCCGUUUAGUUCUCAAAUGUGUUUUCGAUUCGUUAGUUUUGUUGGGUUCAAGUGUGGGUGGUUACUCCCACAUCGCCUAUGAAUGAGUAAAAUAAUGUUGGAUACAUAAGAGAGAUGGCUCACAUGCCUAAUGUCUUAAAGUUUUGGGUGGGGAUGUGGCGUCUCUCUCGUGGCCUUGGAGCGUUGGCAUGUUGGGGAGUGGGAGGGGAUCCUGGUGUUUGGGUCAAUUAUAGGAGAUGGGAACUCGUAGUUGAGGGAGAGAUUGUUGAGUUCAAGUGUGAGGGCCUAUGAAUGGGUAAAAUAUUGGAUAUAAGAUAGGUGACCUAUAUACCUAAUGCCUUAAGAUUUUGGGUGGUCCUAGAGCAUUGGCUCGUUGCUGCUCCUGGCACUCCUCUGGACUCACCAACAAGUUUGAUAUCGAAUGUGUACUUUGUUUGUUGGUCCAUAAAAUUACUAAUAGAAGAAACAUUCAUGAAUAUUUUUGAAGUUUUUUGAUACAUUGAAGGACUAUAAUGACAUUGCCUCACAGAUUUAGGGACCAAAAUCAAUGUAUACUUAUUAUUUGAAUCCAAUUAUUAUGAAAUUGAUUGCAUUUUAUUUUAUACUUUGUGCAUAUCAAACAGUUUGGAAUGUCAUGUGCACUUGAAACUCAAUGCGGACAAGCUUAUGGUGCAAAGCAAUAUAAAAAAUUUGGUGUUCAAAUUUACACUGCUGUCUUUUCUCUUAUUAUAGCUUGUCUUCCUCUAUCUCUAUUAUGGAUCUUCUUGGGAAGGCUAUUGAUUUUACUCGGUCAAGACCCUCUGAUUUCACAAGAAGCUGGAAAAUUUUCCAUGUGCAUGAUUCCUGCUCUAUUUGCUUAUGCAACGCUUCAGGCACUGGUCAGAUACUUUCUGAUGCAAAGUUUGAUACUUCCUCUUGUUAUAAGUUCCACUGUUACCCUGUGCUUCCAUGUAGCUUUUUGUUGGCUGUUAGUUUUUAAAUCUGGAUUAGGUUGCUUAGGAGCUGCACUUUCUAUUGGUACUUCAUACUGGUUGAAUGUGAUUAUACUUGGAUUAUAUAUGAAAUUCUCCACUGAUUGUGAAGAAACUCGGGUUCCGAUUUCAAUGGAGCCAUUCCUUGGAGUAGGAGAGUUCUUUCGAUACGCUAUUCCAUCAGCAGGAAUGAUUUGGUAGUUCACUCCCUCCUUCACAUCUUACUUCCUACUUCAUGUAUUAUGUGUCUCAUUUAGAAUAUUUAUGUCUCAAAUUAUUUGUCAUUUGAUAAUAUGAAUAUAACAUUGACUACUUUUUUCCGAUGUUACCCUCAUUUAUUAAGUAGUUGCAUGUAUAUGGUGGACAAAUAAUAAAUGAGGUACAAGGAAUAAGUAAUCAUUUUCUUAAGAAGUAUGCAGCUUCCAAAUGAAACAAUAUGAGACGGAGAAAGUAUAUUUUAGUUUUGUGUUUCUUUCUCUGUUGAUUUUCAGCCAUGAUUUGUUUCUUACAUAUUUGAUCAUUUUCAGCCUUGAGUGGUGGUCAUUUGAACUCCUAAUCCUUCUUUCUGGUCUUCUACCAAAUCCACAGCUUGAAACUUCAGUCUUAUCCAUAUGGUAUAAAUACCACUUUUCUUAGUCUUUCAUAUAUGAAUUCCUUUGUGUCUUAAAAUUUGUGUUGAAAUUGUUACUCUAAGUCAAAAUUGUUUUUCAUUCAUAUAAGUGGUGCUAAUUAAUUGUGUAAAUUGUUUCUGUUUUUUUAUCAGUUUAUCAAUCAUCUCAACAAUCUAUACAAUACCAGAAGCAACUGGCUCAGCAGCAAGGUUUUGAUUCACAUUAGUUGUGCAUAUACAUUUUUGUGUACAAUAAAAUGCGAUGCUAUAUAUUUAUUUCUUUCUGAUUGGUUUUUCUUUUCAGCACUAGAGUUUCAAAUGCAUUAGGAGGUGGAUGUCCACAAGCAGCGCGAUUGUCUGUCUUUGCUUCUAUGACCGUUGCAGUUUCUGAGGCUAUUUUGGUGAGUUCCACCAUUUUCGCCUCUCGGAAGGUGUUAGGUUAUAUAUUUAGCAAUGAGCAGGAUGUGGUGGACUAUGUCACACAUAUGGUUCCUCUAAUAAGUAUAAAUGUUAUAGUGGAUAGUUUACAUGGCACCCUUUCAGGUUGGCUUUUUUUCUUUACUAUCCAAUGCACAAUACUUCAUUUGUUCAUUAAGUUUCUACUGCAUGAAUGAAUUAUGCUAUGGAAUGUAACACUUGUCCAUUAUAUUUAUAUACAGGUAUUGCUAGAGGAUCUGGUUGGCAGAAGUUGGGAGCAUAUGUGAACCUUGGAGCCUACUAUGUUUUUGGAAUUCCAAUUGCUGUUAUAUUGGGUUUCUGGUUUGAGUUGAGAGGAAAAGGACUGUGGAUUGGGAUACUUGUUGGUGCCUUCUGUCAAGCACUUUUGCUAGCCCUUAUAACAGGUUUUACAAACUGGGAAAAACAGGUUUGCCUUCGCUCCCAAGUCUUUGUGGCUCUACCUCUCUUCGCAUUAGUCACUAGUAUUAAAAACACAGUAAAUAGUCAUUUUGAUCCUUAGUUGUGUGAGGCGCUACACAGUAGUGUAUGAAUGUAGCAAAAUUAUAAAAACAUACCUAAACGCGACUUUCGUUAGUCAGUUCGGUUCUCGAGUGUGUCUGUUGUUAGUCAAUUUGGCCCAUAAAUGAGAUUACAAAUAAAAGGCACACUUGAGGGUGUUUUUGUAAUUUCAAUACAUUCAGGAGUUGUAGUGACAACACCUCACACAUUUAGCGACCAAACUGACCGUUUACUCUAAAAACACAAGUUCCACAUUAAAAAGAGAUAAAGUCUUUAAAAAGUACUAAGCUUCAGAAUCAUUUCAGAUGAAGAAAUCUUGUCAAGCUAAUAGUAUGAAAAUCUAAUAGGCACGGUUCAGAAGCAUCACAGAUCAAGAAAUCCUGUCAAGCUAAAUAUUUUCACAUUAUUAUGUUAAACUUGAGAAGAUAAUUAUGUUCAUACUCAAACAGAACUAACAUCUUAGGCCUUGCUAUCUUAUUAUGAUUCUGUAACAGUUUUGAACAUGUACUGUUUAUUGAAAUAUAAUAAUUUCUGGAAUGUCUGAUUGCAGGCAAUCAAGGCACGGGAAAGGAUAUUUCAAGGAAGACAGGAAGUUUUGCAGUAGAAGAAGAUAGAUCAAUUUGAACAAAUGGAGUAGGUUUCUCAAAGCUGCAGCUUGUUUAGUUAACAUCUCUAAAGCUUAUAGCUUGAUGUGAUUAGAGAGAAAUAUCAAAUCUCAGAUACUAUAAAGACUAAGGGGGAAAAAGUUUUCACGCGGAGAAAUAGUUAUAAAAUAGAUGAUAUUUUUUUUCUUCUCAGUUCAAUUUUUGGUAAGGCUCUGCAGUGUUAGUGUAUCCUUUAUCAUAUCAUGAUGAUGUAAAAGAAAUUGAAUGAUUUCAUCUCUUCAAUUAAAUUGGAAAUGAACAUGAGCCAAGUGAGAAUGAAAAAUGUUUGUUUUUCUGUUUUUGUUUUGUUGAUGCUAAUUUUUUAUUGGAUCAAUUUUUUGGAUUUUUUAUUGAAUUGUAACUUCUUGGUUUACCUUUUUCCUCUACUGUGAUUUUCUUUGUUGGAUGAUGAAUACAAUUAUAAUCUUUAUUGAGGGGAGAGAGAGAGAGAGAGAGAGAGAGAGAGAUGGGCGACAUAAAACGAAAAACAAACUCAUGCGAAAAUUGGAGAUUGAAAAUUUUAAAUUUAAUAAAUUAAAGAAAGGUGGUGGGAAUAGCAUCUAUUUACAUGUCAGGUGGUAAAAAAAGACUUAGUUUUAUAAUUAGUAAUAGAAUUCUCGCCUGAUAAUACAAGUUGGUACAUCACAAUUAACAUGUGAUUAUUGUUUAUUUGAUUUUUAAUAAUCUCAAGUUCUACAUAUUCAAAUAUUUACCCACAACAAAAGGCAAAACCGUAUCAAACCUGUGCUUUUCUAUCAGUUUUCAUUUUCAGCACUUGUUUAAACCAUAGUGCUGGAAGAUAUGGAAAAAGGUUUGUCAAAGAAAGACAAAAGAGGGAGAGGAUGGUUCAGGCAUAUCAUGGGGUGUGUUUGUUCAAGAGGUAGAAGAUGUUGGUUUUCUAGCUUUGCCUAUGAUUAGUGUAACUUUGUCACAAUAUUUUCUACAAAUUAUUUCAAUGAUGAUGGUUGGUCAUUUGGGUAAACUUGCUCUUUCUACCACAGCUAUUGCUAUCUCUCUCUAUGGUGUCUCUGGCUUCAGUCUUCUUGUAAGUCUUCUUUUCCCUUAUUAUGUCUAGUUAAAAAAUAUAUAUUUCAGAAAUUUAUGUCCUGUUGGUCAACUCUAUUUGUCGAGAGUCUUAUCAACUACUGAACGACUCUCGGCUCACCAAAAAAAGAAGAAUAAUGGCUCUCGAUAAAUAAAGUGUGACCUAUAUGACAUAAGUUUUAGAUUUUAUGGAAAUAAAUUUAACUUUUUUAAACCUCUGGCACAACCGUCUUCUCAUUCUAAACUUUCUUGUUGAACUUCCCUUAACCAAGAUUGAAACUUAUGUCUCUUCCAAAGCAUUAUAUAGUCAUGUCCUCCAUUUGUCAAGGAAAAUUCAUUUUCAAGUGAAUAUGGUACUUUGCCUUUGAAUUUGUGUCCAUCAGUUAACUUUGUCUCUGAAUUUUUUAAAAUAGAUAAAUGGUCUCUCAAUUGUUUCAUGUCCAUCAGAUGAGUUUCUUCGUCAAGUCCAAUUUGAUACCUAAAUUUGUGAGCACUAAAGAUGCUUUGGUAUCCCUCUUUUCCAAUGUUAUUUACCCUAAAGUGUCUCUUCUUCCUUCUAAUGUCCAAUUCUUCUCAUCUGUUAACAACAAUAAAAGGAAUAACUCAGGUACAAUGGUGAAAGUAAAUAUCAUCUCUAUUAUGUAGUCACUGCCACAAUUUCAUGGUUUUACGUAAACCUUGAUGCAUGUAGAAGAGGAUUUUUAGAUUUUUUAAAUGGGGGAAGAAGAAAUAGAAAAAAAAAAUCUGCUAAUCAUUGAAAAGAAACAAUCAAUACAAGAUAAAAUUAUUGGAAAAAAACUCAAACAUUUUACUAUAAACAAAUUUUAAUUUGUUGUCAAAUUAGUCUAUGUAUAUGUGGUAGGUGGCAUAAACAGAUACAUCAGUGUUU